AGAGACUUAGGUUAUUAAAGACCAAGGGCCUUCAAAGCCCUAAGUGGGAGUGAAAAUCUCCCAGCCUCUG
Molecule: transfer RNA, 70 nt
Filed under: Zoogoneticus quitzeoensis (picotee splitfin)
Lineage: Eukaryota; Metazoa; Chordata; Actinopteri; Cyprinodontiformes; Goodeidae
Description: tRNA-Trp
Rfam family: tRNA
About the family: Transfer RNA (tRNA) molecules are approximately 80 nucleotides in length. Their secondary structure includes four short double-helical elements and three loops (D, anti-codon, and T loops).
Source: RNAcentral